Molecule: ribosomal RNA, 426 nt
Filed under: uncultured Aquicella sp.
Lineage: Bacteria; Pseudomonadati; Pseudomonadota; Gammaproteobacteria; Legionellales; Coxiellaceae
Description: bacterial SSU rRNA
Rfam family: Bacterial small subunit ribosomal RNA
Source: RNAcentral
UGGGGAAUAUUGGACAAUGGGGGCAACCCUGAUCCAGCGAUGCCGCGUGAGUGAAGAAGGCCUUCGGGUCGUAAAGCUCUUUAGGUUGGGAAGAAGGUUGGUUGAGGAAAUGCAAUCAAUUUGACGGUACCGACAGAAUAAGCACCGGCAAACUCUGUGCCAGCAGCCGCGGUAAUACAGAGGGUGCAAGCGUUAAUCGGAGUUACUGGGCGUAAAGGGCGCGUAGGCGGUAUUAUGUGUGUGAUGUGAAAGCCCCGGGCUUAACCUGGGAAGUGCAUCGCAAACUGUAAAACUAGAGUAGAUGAGAGGGUGAUGGAAUUUCCGGUGUAGCGGUGAAAUGCGUAGAGAUCGGAAGGAACGUCAAUGGCGAAGGCAGUCACCUGGCAUCAUACUGACGCUGAGGCGCGAAAGCGUGGGGAGCGAACA